This is a long non-coding RNA of Mesoplodon densirostris (Blainville's beaked whale), 1179 nucleotides long. RefSeq lists it as uncharacterized. The record is from RefSeq and is a predicted model, not a curated record. NCBI's taxonomy places the organism in Eukaryota, Metazoa, Chordata, Mammalia, Artiodactyla, Ziphiidae. The transcript has 3 exons.
UUCUGGAUAGAGGCCUCAGCUUGGAACUUCACAGGUUGAAAGUACAGCUCAAAUGCCUGAGAUGGAGGUGAGCCUCCAAAGAAAUUGCAUCUUUGAAGAGAAUUUGCAGUCUGAAGAGAAGCUUUAGCUUCCAGCUCCUUUCAGACAUCUUCUGAACCCCUGUGUGGAGGAGAAGCUAGUUGUGCAGGAUCAGUCAACAGACAAACUUGACCCAGAGGUCUUUAGAGCAUUGGCACUGGCAAGAUCAAAGAAAUGGUGAAAUUACUUGUGCUGAAACAGUUUCAGAUCCUCCUGAACAAGGAGUUUAAAAUUUGUCUCAGAACUCUGAAAAUAAUGAAGACUGUGUCUCUGGAGGAUUUAACCCAAACGAGGAAGAAAUAAGUAUGGCUUAUAGAAAAAUUGUACUAAUGGAAUAAGCUUAGAAGAAGGCAGUCUGCAAAGUAAAAGUAGGAAACAUAAGUUUUCCGUACCCAUCUUUAGGCACAGAGUCAAUCCUAGGAUUCUUCCUUCCCUCAAAAUGGAGCCCAAAGGAGAGAGGCUGGCUACCAUGCAUCUAACUGCAGGACACCAGGCUGAGAAAAUAAUCUGGAGACCAAAAAGUCUAUUGAAGUGGGAAGUGGGAAGUCCUUCAUCCAGGAUGUUUCUGAAUAAGACCGCUUUGGGAGCAAUAAUGAAAAGACCUACCAAAGAUGGUCCCUGAAACCUAAACUUGAGAGAAGAUGGGGAAUGUAAAGGAUAGGUUGGAGAGCCAAGAGAGGGAGACCAGCAGAGUAUAGGAUCAAAUGUCAGUUGCCAGCAAGAAAAUACUCAACAAAGAGAGGGGCCAGGCAAAAAGAAAAUUUGCAAGAGUAUAUCCUAUUAUACAACAAAAAUUCCUAUAGGAAAGGGACCAUAUAAGUGUGAUAUGACUGAAGGUGUUUUCAAACAGAAUACAGAACUAAUGAAACAUAAAAUGUUCAGUGUAGAGAAACAAUACAAAUGUAAGGAAUGUGGGAAAACUUUCAGUUACUAUUCUUUUCUUAAUAAUCAUCCAAAGAGUCACCCUUUAUCUUCUCAUUUUGGAGAGAAAUCUUCUGAAUGUAAUAGUUGGAAAAUCUUCAGUGAGAAUGUAACCUUUACUCAGCAUGAGAAAAUCCACAGUGGAGAGAAACCCUUCAAAUGCAAUGACUGUGUGAAAAC